AGUGAACGCUGGCGGUAGGCCUAACACAUGCAAGUCGAACGGCAGCACAGUAAGAGCUUGCUCUUACGGGUGGCGAGUGGCGGACGGGUGAGGAAUACAUCGGAAUCUACUUUUUCGUGGGGGAUAACGUAGGGAAACUUACGCUAAUACCGCAUACGACCUACGGGUGAAAGCAGGGGAUCUUCGGACCUUGCGCGAUUGAAUGAGCCGAUGUCGGAUUAGCUAGUUGGCGGGGUAAAGGCCCACCAAGGCGACGAUCCGUAGCUGGUCUGAGAGGAUGAUCAGCCACACUGGAACUGAGACACGGUCCAGACUCCUACGGGAGGCAGCAGUGGGGAAUAUUGGACAAUGGGCGCAAGCCUGAUCCAGCCAUACCGCGUGGGUGAAGAAGGCCUUCGGGUUGUAAAGCCCUCUUGUUGGGAAAGAAAAGCAGCAGGUUAAUACCCCGCUGUUCUGACGGUACCAAAGAAUAAGCACCGGCUAACUUCGUG
RNAcentral lists this ribosomal RNA (491 nucleotides) under uncultured bacterium. Its description in RNAcentral is "partial 16S ribosomal RNA". It matches the Rfam family "Bacterial small subunit ribosomal RNA", at positions 29 to 507 of the family's 1533-position model. The record is from RNAcentral.